Molecule: non-coding RNA, 833 nt
Organism: Megalobrama amblycephala (Wuchang bream)
Lineage: Eukaryota; Metazoa; Chordata; Actinopteri; Cypriniformes; Xenocyprididae
Source: the annotation of a RefSeq genome assembly
CUGUCAGUGUCUGAGACACAUUUGAGAGGAAACGCUUUGAAUUUGUGUCCCACCCCUGUGAUUGGAGCUCAAUAUCAGAGCGUCUGUCAGUCCGACUGUAAAUCCAACAUCAGUGUCCUUCAGUUUCACUCAUUCCCAGUAAAGAUGAGGACACACACUCUGAUCAUCUGCUCUCUGCUGCUGCUGCUCAACGAGUGUAGAGGACAGAUCACCGUCACUCAGAGUCCCUCAAUGACAGCAGCUCAACCAGGACAAACUGUGAACAUCAACUGUAGAACCAGCACAGAUGUGUAUAAUGGUGGUUCUGAUGAUUUCUUAGCCUGGUACUUACAGAAACCUGGAGAAGCUCCUAAACUCCUGAUUUAUUGGGCCAACACCCUCCAGUCAGGAACUCCAUCUAGAUUCAGUGGCAGUGGAUCUAACAGUGAUUUCACUCUGACCAUCAGUGGAGUCCAGACUGAAGAUGCUGGACAUUAUUACUGUCAGAGUUUACACGAAAUAAACGAUGACUAUGUGUUCACACAGUGAUAAAGAGUCGUACAAAAACCUCCGUCAGUCAGAGUCACAGUGACUGAACUGAUACUGCAGCUGCUCAAAGGAGGAUCUGAAACAACAUCGUCACACAAACAUCUGAAAUAAAAUCAUCUAAAUUAAUCUGCCACUCUUAAUAAUUAUAGAGGUCAGAAAGAGAUUUUGUGCUCUUAUAGAUCAGUCACACGUUUGAGAUCUGACUGAUUUCAGUUGCCGCCUUUUAUUAAUAAUAGAUGUUAAUUUUCAUAAUUCUCCAUGGUUAUUUGAUUUGAGUAUCUCAUCCUAACAUGUCAUUUGUUCAC